UCCGAAUUGGUGUAGUGGCUAACAUUUGACGCUCUCAUGGCUAGUGCCGUCAAGCCCGGGGUUCGAUUCCCCGAUUCGGAG
Molecule: non-coding RNA, 81 nt
Organism: Hypoxylon argillaceum
Lineage: Eukaryota; Fungi; Ascomycota; Sordariomycetes; Xylariales; Hypoxylaceae
Source: the annotation of a GenBank genome assembly